GGGCCCCGCCCCCCCGACCUGCAGAGCCCGCCCCCGAAGGGGGACGCGGUGCGAGGGGCGUUUCUCCCACCCGCGAACCUCCGCUGGUCUCCAAGCACGCCCUUGUCAGCUCCGGCUGCCGGUCGUGGAUGCCUCGGAGGGAAAGCUAGGCUCCCGACCCCGGAUCCCGGAGCGCCGGUGCCAGCCCUGCCCACCCGAGGGCACUGGGUAAUAAAGAGACCCAGUGCACAGCUGUGGAGCGACUGAGAUGAGCACGAGAAGAUCUCUGCCGUCCAGGAGCCUGCUGCCCACUUAGGAAGACCGGCAUGUAAUUAAAUGAAUAUUGUGUUAGAAGCAUCUGGGAGUUUUACCUGAAACACUCCUUAGGGAGGUGAUACUUACGUUGUUCUUUCCUGUCUGUCUCCCACAACAGCGGACGUUUUCUUAGGCAUGAAACACAAAAAGCAAAGUAAAGUGGGCUUGGGAAGAAUAGUCCUGAAGACGAGAGACACUGAUUUCCUCUCUUCUUUCAUUACUAAGCAUUUUGAAAGGAGACGAUAAUACAUCCUUCGUUUCCACGUUCUCUUUAAAGACUUCUGUGUUCUCACUUCUGUCCCCCGUCCUCUACUUGCACUGUUCUUAAACAUAGUAUCAUUGGUCUAUCAUAUGAAUAUAUCGUUUUAUUCAUUCUUAUGAUAAUGGCCAUCUGAGUUAUUUCCAUCUUUGCUGUUACAAAUAAUGCAGCUGGGAACAUUCAGGUACAUGUCUCCUGUGUGGAAUUGCUGGCUGGAACUGCUGAAUCAUAGGGUAUGCCCACAUCCAACCUCAUUAGAUAAUCCUAGAUUAUAUUACUAAGUGGUUAUGCCAUUUUACCACCCCUCCCGGCAGUGGAUAAGACUCCACGUUUUCAACACUUAAUAUUUUAAGGUUCUUAAUUUUUGCUAAUUUACUGGG
This 933-nucleotide long non-coding RNA is filed under the name Equus asinus (donkey). RNAcentral's name for it is "lncRNA (ENSEASG00005027057.1)". The record is from RNAcentral. Lineage: Eukaryota; Metazoa; Chordata; Mammalia; Perissodactyla; Equidae.